Molecule: ribosomal RNA, 483 nt
Filed under: uncultured bacterium
Lineage: Bacteria
Description: partial 16S ribosomal RNA
Rfam family: Bacterial small subunit ribosomal RNA
Source: RNAcentral
AUUGAACGCUGGCGGCAGGCCUAACACAUGCGAGUCGAGCGGAUGAAGGGAGCUUGCUCCUGGAUUCAGCGGCGGACGGGUGAGUAAUGCCUAGGAAUCUGCCUGGUAGUGGGGGAUAACGUCCGGAAACGGGCGCUAAUACCGCACACGUCCUGAGGGAGAAAGUGGGGGAUCUUCGGACCUCACGCUAUCAGAUGAGCCUAGGUCGGAUUAGCUAGUUGGUGGGGUAAAGGCCUACCAAGGCGACGAUCCGUAACUGGUCUGAGAGGAUGAACAGUCAAACCUGAAACUGGGCACCGGUCAGACUCACUAGGGAGGCAGGAGGUGGGAAAUUUGGGAAAAUGGCCAAAGCCCUAGUCAACCAAGGCCGCGUGGGGAAGGAGGUUCUUCGGAUUUAAAGGAACUUAAGGUUGGAAGAAAGGGAAGUAAUUUAAUCCCUUCCUGUUUGGCGGUACCAACAGAAUAAGCACCGGCUAACUUCGU